UACAAAGACAUUAAGGACACCAAUGACUACACUCAUUUGGAUGCGUAUACAUAUAAACAGAGAUCAGGCAGCCUUUUCAAAAUAAAGACAGAUGUUCCCCUUAAAUCUAUGUUCAUGACAUAAAAUGGUGAAUUGAUGAUGAAACGGAUUACACGGAAAAACAAUUUCCGCAGGAAACCAUUCAACCAGUACAGGAGUUACGCAGCGCUGCUUAGUAAGUAAGCAAAGGAAUUGCGAACUUCACUAUUACUGCUACUCGUAGCUUCUAGUUGUCUGGAACUAGUUGCUCGACGACCUUCACAAAGGCAAAAAAUAUAUAUUAUAAUUAUCAGGAAAACUUAACUAACCUAAAACAUUAACUUUUUGUUUGACAUUUAUGGGGCGUUUACCCAACUUUUAUAAACCAC
Molecule: long non-coding RNA, 407 nt
Organism: Cydia pomonella (codling moth)
Lineage: Eukaryota; Metazoa; Arthropoda; Insecta; Lepidoptera; Tortricidae
Exons: 3
Source: RefSeq, a predicted model, not a curated record